Non-coding RNA from Cicer arietinum (chickpea), 1910 nucleotides. NCBI's taxonomy places the organism in Eukaryota, Viridiplantae, Streptophyta, Magnoliopsida, Fabales, Fabaceae. The record is from RefSeq and is a predicted model, not a curated record.
AUGGUAGCAUUUUUAAAGAAGUCACCUGUUAACAACAACAAAAAAGAGGUACCAACAAAAAAUUCCCCCAAUUUUUAUUUGGUGAAUUAAUUCAUUGCCGCCUACAGAAUCCCUAAGUUUAAGUUAGAGCCAAAAUUCUUAAAUUACUUAUUUUAUCAUUGGAAUGCCUAGAUCUUCUUAGUUCCGCAACAUCGACGCCGUCGAAUAGCAGCAACGACAACAACCUCGACGGCGGCAACAACCACUACCACGAUGACAUCGCUAUUCCUUGGCUACAACAACAGCUGUGACGACAUCGCCUCCUCUUUCACAAUCUUUUUCACACCACCCCAUUAUUUCUCUACCGGAACCGAAUCUGGAAUUGGUAUUGCGUUUUCACUUAUUUGUUCAUGGAUUGGUACAGAUUUUGAGCUAAAGGGAAACACAACUCAAAGAUAACAGUGUCAAUCUUUUUGUUUAUGCAACUGGAUCAACACUCUUACUGGAAAGAUUCUAGGUCAGUUGGAGGACAUAUAUUUCUGUGAAGUGUAUGCAGUUGCACUAUUGUAAUGUGACUUGGCUGUUAAAGUAUUGAAGUGUAUCAUCCUCUGUGAUGUAUCUUAGUUUUUGAUAUAAAGCUAUCAUUUCUCUCCUUAUAGGGUGAACCUCAUAUUCUUCUAUUUUUCUUAGUCAAGUUUACACAUGUUCCACAUUCUCUUCUGUGUUUUGGAUGCAGUUCAACCUCCAAUUAUCUUCAAAAUAAAAAUAUCUCAUGUGAGUUUCCUUCUAAUCUCUUCAUUCCUUUUAUUCUUGUCGCUAAACUAGUUAUGUAAAGAAGCAACUUUUGAAGACAAUUUCCUCUACAGUUAUUUUCCACCACAACACUUGAUAGUUAUCUCUCUAUUUGGCUUAAGUUGUGUUGGAUUGAAGACAUGAUAAUUUAUGGCUAACAAUUUCUCAUAAUCAUCAUGAUACCACUUAGACAAGUUAUAUUAUGGCUAAUAAUUUUUCUUUAUAAUUGUGCCACUCAAAUUCAUGGUUAAUUCAUGGUUAUUAUGUUGUACGAUGUUAUGUUGAAAUCAGAGCUAUUCUAGUUGCAAUUGAGGUUCCGAACUACAAUCCAUUGGUUGAGGUAUGUUCCAAUUUCUUCAUGAGUAUUUUUAUUUUUCUUCUAAUUUACAAUGGUUUCUUGAUAAGUAAUAGAAAAAUAUUUGGAUAUCAUUUUGUCCGAAGAAAUGUAUUUAGAUAUAUUUGAUUAAUCUUCCUAUGUAAAAUACAAGUUGCUUCAUAGGUCCAAUGCUGAUAUUUUUCAUAUGUAAUAUCUUUUAUUUUUUGAGAUAGGUUCUUAUGCUUCUAGUGCUUCUAACCAUUAUAAAAUUUCUUGUAGUGACUACUACUAGUGUAUGUCAUCCCUCAUUAUAAAAUUUCUUUAUUUUUUUAAUUCACACCAAUUAGUUUUCAUUAAUAUUAUCAUCAUUUUCAGAGAUUUUAUUGUUGCUAUGGAACAAGUUCUCAAUAUUAUUUACCCAAAAAAGGAGGAGAUGUGCUUAAGCACAAUCACUCAAGUUGUUUCCAGACAAUGACUUUUAAUCUCGAAGCAAUCCACUUCAAGUUUGUUCCUAUUUCAUAACUUCUAUUCAAGUUAUUAAUGAAGAAAGAAUAACAUAUAUUAUUCACAUGGCUUAGAUAACCAAAAGCUUUGUAGAAAUGGAGAGCAACACGUGUACAAAUGAAGAACAAUGAAACUAUGGAAGACCCAUGUAAAAAGAAGUUUUUAAAUGAUUAAGAUUGUAAUUUUCAUACAUCUACUUGGAUUUGAGUUGUAUCUUGUUUGAUUAUUUUGAAGCUAAUUCUUGAUGUGGUACACAUUACUUGAAUCUCUUAUGUGGUGUAUUAAUUUUAUGAUAAAGAAAAUUCCUUUGAAGUUUUAA